AUACGAAGGGGGCUAGCGUUGUUCGGAAUUACUGGGCGUAAAGCGCGCGUAGGCGGAUUGGUCAGUUAGGGGUGAAAUCCCAGGGCUUAACCCUGGAACUGCCUCUAAUACUGCCAGUCUUGAGUUCGGGAGAGGUGAGUGGAAUUCCUAGUGUAGAGGUGAAAUUCGUAGAUAUUAGGAAGAACACCAGUGGCGAAGGCGGCUUACUGGCCCGAUACUGACGCUGAGGCGCGAAAGCGUGGGGAGCAAACAGGAUUAGAAACCCUAGUAGUCC
RNAcentral lists this ribosomal RNA (274 nucleotides) under uncultured bacterium. Its description in RNAcentral is "partial 16S ribosomal RNA". It matches the Rfam family "Bacterial small subunit ribosomal RNA", at positions 523 to 796 of the family's 1533-position model. The record is from RNAcentral.